Long non-coding RNA from Oncorhynchus mykiss (rainbow trout), 1034 nucleotides. RefSeq lists it as uncharacterized. The record is from RefSeq and is a predicted model, not a curated record. NCBI's taxonomy places the organism in Eukaryota, Metazoa, Chordata, Actinopteri, Salmoniformes, Salmonidae.
UACCAUAGCUCUGGGCACCACUUAAAUGUUGAAAAUAUUAGCUUCAGGGUUUGAAAUGACAACCUUGGCAACUAAACAACAGUAGUAAUUUUCCUUAUUAUUCAUCCAAACUACAAAAUUAUAUAUUGGGUUCCUGACCCUAUAAGGAGUCUAUCGACAAGGGAGUAGAAUAAUGGCGCUCAGCACUAGCCCUGGAAAGACAUCUCCACCCACACACAAACACUGAGAGAAGCAGAGGGAUGUGAGUUGUUCGCAUGCACACCCAGAGAGAGAACAUGAGCAUGGACCUCGUACAUCUCCGGAGGAGAGGAGUCACUGAUGAGGAAGAGCCCUCGCUCCUGAUUGGCUAUCUCCCUAAUCAUGAGGUUCUGCAGGGAGAGGACCGGAGACUUGUCCUGAAAAGAGAAAGAGAGAGAAAAAUAAGGGAACACUAGGAUGUCUGUCAUCAGCAGGACCUGCACAUCUAAACACACACACACACACACACACACACACGAAUCCGCACACACGCACACACACAAAAUAAAAACCUCCUUUAAAACAUGAGUAAGCAACAUGUUUUGGGGAUAGUUCCAUCCCCUACAAUGCCUUCAGAAAGUAUUCACAACCCUUUAGUUUUUUCCAAUGUCGAUGUGUUAUAGCCUAAAUUUAGAAUGGAUUCAAUUGAGAUAUUUUGUCACUGGCCUACACACAAUAAAUACCGCGUUAUGUCAAAGUGGAAUUAUGUUUCCCCCCCCAAAAAAGCUGAGUCAAUAACAAUUUAACCCCUUUGUUAUGGCAAGCCUAGGACAGGAGUAAGCAUUUGCUUAACAAAUCAUAAUAAUGGUGUUUACCAUGUUUGAGUGACUACCCCACACAUACAAUUAUCUGUAAGGUCAGUCAAGCAGUUAAUUUCAAGUACAGAUUCAACCAAAAAUACCAGGGAGGUUUUCUCAUGCCUCGCAAAGAAGGGCACCUAUUGGUAGAUGGGUAAACAUUUAAAAAAGCAGACACUGAAUUUCCCUUUGAGCAUGGUGAAUUUAGUAAUUAGACUU